UACGUAGGGGGCAAGCGUUGUCCGGAUUUAUUGGGCGUAAAGAGCUCGUAGGCGGUCUGUCGCGUCGGCUGUGAAAACCCGGGGCUCAACCCCGGGCCUGCAGUCGAUACGGGCAGACUAGAGUGCGGUAGGGGAGACUGGAAUUCCUGGUGUAGCGGUGAAAUGCGCAGAUAUCAGGAGGAACACCGGUGGCGAAGGCGGGUCUCUGGGCCGUAACUGGCGCUGAGGAGCGAAAGCGUGGGGAGCGAACAGG
This 253-nucleotide ribosomal RNA is filed under the name uncultured bacterium. RNAcentral describes it as "partial 16S ribosomal RNA". It matches the Rfam family "Bacterial small subunit ribosomal RNA", at positions 524 to 776 of the family's 1533-position model. The record is from RNAcentral.